RNAcentral lists this long non-coding RNA (970 nucleotides) under Equus caballus (horse). RNAcentral's name for it is "lncRNA (ENSECAG00000054863.1)". The record is from RNAcentral. Lineage: Eukaryota; Metazoa; Chordata; Mammalia; Perissodactyla; Equidae.
CGGCAGCCCAGGGUUCGCCGGUUGGGCUCCCGGGUGCAGACAUGGCACCGCUUGGCUAAGCCAUACUGUGUUACCAAGACUCCCUGGGUGGCAGCAAAAAAGUCAACAAGGAAAUAAAACUCCACCACCUGGCGUAUUAGUUGGGGAUAAAGCUAUACACAGAUUGAGCAUGAAUUAUUUGCAUCAACUGUAGAAAGCAAUUCAUGAACAAAGAAAAGUCCACAGUUUGGGAGAAUAGACCAGAAUAUGAGAGAGGAGGCAAAACACAUCAUAUUCUUGGGAAGGAAGAUGGCAGAAGCUGCAUUGGAAAACAGUCAGCUCUAUCCUUUGGCCAUAGCAUCCUGAAAAGAAGAGAAAUCUGAAAGCAUUCUACACCCACAGCGAGCAGCAAGCAGGCCUUCUUCUGAAUUAGCAGUCCCCAUCAUGUGAGGACACACAGCAGUUUCCUCCAGCAGAAUCACCAAGCCCUGCAGCAACCUCAGGAGCCAAGAGUGAGAAGAUCUCCUCGUCAGGGUGCAUGUAGGGGUGUGAAUUAAGUGAUAGUGGGAUUUCUGCUUAUUAUGGGACCCCGAGAGACCCUGGGACACAUGGGGACUUCGGUUAUUCUCACCCACCUACUGCAGAACUGAAAACAUUGGAUUGUUUUGUGAUUUUCUCUCUAAAUUUAACUUUAUUCAGACACACUGUAGUUAAGGCUUAUAAAGAGUCCAGUCUUUCAGUACAUUUCCAGGAUGGCAGCUAAAGCCAAGAAGGAAGCAAUCGCCCUCCACCUUCACCCCAUAGAAUAAGGUUACCUGCCCCUCCGUUCUGAAAACUGGUGGACUCCAAAGUUAAGCUUGUCAGAGCCUUCCUGCUUCGAGGCCUCCACAUCUCUUCCAGGCGGCUGCUGGACCUCAUCAGUCAGCUCAGUUUUACCCAAAUCUCAAGGGUCAAUCUCUACCGAUCUGGGAAGAAUUUACGCAGUUUUCAU